Long non-coding RNA from Melitaea cinxia (Glanville fritillary), 327 nucleotides. RefSeq lists it as uncharacterized. Lineage: Eukaryota; Metazoa; Arthropoda; Insecta; Lepidoptera; Nymphalidae. The transcript has 2 exons. The record is from RefSeq and is a predicted model, not a curated record.
GUUAGGUAGUCAUUGUCUAUGGUUUUGAUUUAUGGUUAAUUAAAAAAGAAAUAAAGAUUUCCUCCCCUUUCGUCUAUGGCUUCAACUACAGUGAACAUGUCUUUCAUUAAACCCUUUCCUAUAUUAAGUAUUUAUAUAAUUAAUAAAUACCAAGAACAUUACAUGGUGUCAGAAGUGAACGUAAACAAGUGGACGAAUAUUAAAAAUGUCGCAGACGCCAGCAGCGAAGAAAAAAAUAAGAUCUGCAGACGACGGACACAUGGCGGUCGCUGAAGUUCACGGAAGAGCAGUCCGGGGAGAAGCCAGUCACGAAGCAACCUCAGUCAG